UAUACAGCGAAACUGCGAAUGGCUCAUUAUAUAAGUUAUCGUUUAUUUGAUAGUGCCUUACUACUUGGAUAACCGUGGUAAUUCUAGAGCUAAUACAUGCUAAAAACCCCGACUUCGGAAGGGGUGUAUUUAUUARAUACAAAACCAAUGCCCUUCGGGGCUCUUUGGUGAUUCAUGAUAACUAUACGAAUCGCACGGCCUUGCGCCGGCGAUGGUUCAUUCAAAUUUCUUCCCUAUCAACUUUCGAUGUUUGGGUAUUGGCCAAACAUGGUUGCAACGGGUAACGGAGGGUUAGGGCUCGACCCCGGAGAAGGAGCCUGAGAAACGGCUACUACAUCCAAGGAAGGCAGCAGGCGCGCAAAUUACCCAAUCCCGACUCGGGGAGGUAGUGACAAUAAAUACUGAUACAGGGCCCUUUCGGGCCUUGUAAUUGGAAUGAGUACAAUUUAAAUCCCUUAACGAGGAACAAUUGGAGGGCAAGUCUGGUGCCAGCAGCCGCGGUAAUUCCAGCUCCAAUAGCGUAUAU
This 526-nucleotide ribosomal RNA is filed under the name uncultured eukaryote. Its description in RNAcentral is "SSU rRNA". It matches the Rfam family "Eukaryotic small subunit ribosomal RNA", at positions 75 to 606 of the family's 1831-position model. The record is from RNAcentral.